This is a long non-coding RNA of Mus musculus (house mouse), 488 nucleotides long. RefSeq annotates it as predicted gene, 51967. The record is from RefSeq and is a predicted model, not a curated record. The transcript is spliced from 3 exons. NCBI's taxonomy places the organism in Eukaryota, Metazoa, Chordata, Mammalia, Rodentia, Muridae.
UCACCUCCUCAACUGUGUGGGAAGUUUGGUUUUCAUCUUUUAACUGAGGCUGUUCCGUAACGAAGAAGAAGAUACUCAAUGGCUAUCUAAGAAGUGAGCCCCAGAUUCUGCCAAGAGCUUCUUGUCCGAGGAAGAUGAAGAGAUCAUUGACAGAGAAGUCCUGUGAAGACUUUUACACAUGGUCUCUUUGCCCAGCCCAGUUCGUAGCCACAAGCAGAAGGUGACCCAGGCACAUGCGUAUCUCAGACAUCUGUUGACCUCUCAUCUGCUCCGACCAUCGGAUGACCUGUGAGGAAUGGGUUCGGAGCCUGCCUUUCUGUCCCUAACAUGAAGGGAGGUCCAGCCUAUGGGCUGCUGCUGGGCCUCGUUCGGGACAGGACCACGUGGGCCAUCUGACCAGGGCCAGGGAAACAGAAGAGAGCACCUCAGCCUCUAGAACAACAGUGAGUCCCCAGAGAGCCUUUCUUUACCUCACACUGCAUCAAGGC